This 460-nucleotide ribosomal RNA is filed under the name uncultured bacterium. RNAcentral's name for it is "partial 16S ribosomal RNA". It matches the Rfam family "Bacterial small subunit ribosomal RNA", at positions 338 to 795 of the family's 1533-position model. The record is from RNAcentral.
CCUACGGGUGGCUGCAGUGAGGAAUAUUGGUCAAUGGACGAGAGUCUGAACCAGCCAAGUAGCGUGAAGGAUGACUGCCCUAUGGGUUGUAAACUUCUUUUAUAAGGGAAUAAAACGAGGCACGUGUGCCUUUUUGCAUGUACUUUAUGAAUAAGGAUCGGCUAACUCCGUGCCAGCAGCCGCGGUAAUACGGAGGAUCCGAGCGUUAUCCGGAUUUAUUGGGUUUAAAGGGAGCGUAGAUGGUUUGUUAAGUCAGUUGUGAAAGUUUGCGGCUCAACCGUAAAAUUGCAUUUGAUACUGGCAGUCUAGAGUAUAGUUGCGGUAGGCGGAAUGCGUGGUGUAGCGGUGAAAUGCAUAGAUAUCACAAAGAACACCGAUUGCGAAGGCAGCUUACUAAACUAUGACUGACAUUGAUGCUCGAAAGUGUGGGUAGCAAACAGGAUUAGAUACCCGUGUAGUC